This is a long non-coding RNA of Xenia sp. Carnegie-2017, 1189 nucleotides long. RefSeq lists it as uncharacterized. The transcript is spliced from 5 exons. The record is from RefSeq and is a predicted model, not a curated record. Lineage: Eukaryota; Metazoa; Cnidaria; Anthozoa; Malacalcyonacea; Xeniidae.
UCGUAUGUAUUAAAAUGCAGCAAUGUGUAUAGUUCGUUAUUGAGGAUAACGUGAAGAUUAUUUUAAUUAGGGAAGUAUAUUUCUACGUUAUAGUUAAUUGUAACUGUUUAAUUUCAACUUAUGUUUACAUUAAAAGACAUCCUUAAGCCAACUUUACUAAUAUUGAUCGCUAUUUUCGUGUUAUACAUCUAUAAUCAUCUUGUUAAAGAUUUGAAGCUUUGCUGCGAUAAUACAGCAGAGAAUUAUUCUCAUUAUGAUUUGGUCAUUGGAAUACUUUCAUCGCGCGGCAACUUUGAUUUGUGGCAAAGUUUACGUGAAUCAUGGGUUGGCUAUGCAAGACGACAUUCAUCGCUCAAUAAAAGGCUAAACUCGAAUAUUCACAAGAAAUAACGGUUACGGUACACUUGCCGAAGAUAUCACCAUCUUACAGCUUUCGUACUGAUUGGUUGAUCGAGAGGCAGGAAAAUGAGCCGAGCCUGAAUAUCCGGGCGUGACUUAUCCGACAUUUGCCUGAAGUGCGGGCAGCAUUAUUUCUUCGGAUAUUGUUCACUGGCUGGCAAAAAACGAGAAAUCUCUGAAACGUUAUCAGGGGGAGGAUGUCUCUAUGGGUAUUUGGUUAUCAGCUAUUCCUCCUGAAAUUUAUAAUGCAAGAUCUCCUGUUCUUCCCUGUAAGUUAUUGACAGUUGUUCAACAAGAUCCUUUAUGGUGAUCGUACUCCAACAAUCUUUUUUCAACAUCACGAGGAUUCAAUAGAAACGUUUGACAUGACCGUUAAAAUUUCUUCAUCGGAAACGCUACUACCGUUUGGUAGAGCAAUUAAACGAUCAGCGUUUUUAAUAUCUUCUAUUAAACUUCCACCUCUUUCCUCGCGUGCGAACACGCUACCAUUGCUUGUGAAGCUGUCGGCAACCUUCGACUCCUUUCGACCAAUUUUAUCGGGAGAUCCCGACUCUCGACCACGAGCGCUCUCCGUCUCGCUGUUGAAUCUAGAGUGACGAGUCUCGCUACUCGUGGAAAUGUAGCUGUUCUCUUGUGGACUUCCUUGUUGUCGUCUCUGCUCUCGUUGUUGUUUUUCUUCGCAUGCUGCAAGUUUCGCAGUCAAAUCACGUAUUUCCUCCUGUGAAAAGUGUAAGGAUAAUGAUUUUAAUUUGGGAAUGUCAUUAAUUGAAUAUCAAAUCGUCUUAUUUCA